RNAcentral lists this ribosomal RNA (496 nucleotides) under Salmonella enterica subsp. enterica serovar Enteritidis. RNAcentral describes it as "partial 23S ribosomal RNA". It matches the Rfam family "Bacterial large subunit ribosomal RNA", at positions 140 to 678 of the family's 2925-position model. Lineage: Bacteria; Pseudomonadati; Pseudomonadota; Gammaproteobacteria; Enterobacterales; Enterobacteriaceae. The record is from RNAcentral.
UCGUCACACUAUCAUUAACUGAAUCCAUAGGUUAAUGAGGCGAACCGGGGGAACUGAAACAUCUAAGUACCCCGAGGAAAAGAAAUCAACCGAGAUUCCCCCAGUAGCGGCGAGCGAACGGGGAGGAGCCCAGAGCCUGAAUCAGCAUGUGUGUUAGUGGAAGCGUCUGGAAAGGCGCGCGAUACAGGGUGACAGCCCCGUACACAAAAGCGCAUGUGCUGUGAGCUCGAUGAGUAGGGCGGGACACGUGGUAUCCUGUCUGAAUAUGGGGGGACCAUCCUCCAAGGCUAAAUACUCCUGACUGACCGAUAGUGAACCAGUACCGUGAGGGAAAGGCGAAAAGAACCCCGGCGAGGGGAGUGAAAAAGAACCUGAAACCGUGUACGUACAAGCAGUGGGAGCACCCUUUGGGUGUGACUGCGUACCUUUUGUAUAAUGGGUCAGCGACUUAUAUUCUGUAGCAAGGUUAACCGAAUAGGGGAGCCGGAGGGAAACC